RNAcentral lists this ribosomal RNA (114 nucleotides) under Nematostella vectensis (starlet sea anemone). RNAcentral's name for it is "Eukaryotic small subunit ribosomal RNA". It matches the Rfam family "Eukaryotic small subunit ribosomal RNA", at positions 861 to 974 of the family's 1831-position model. The record is from Rfam by way of RNAcentral. Lineage: Eukaryota; Metazoa; Cnidaria; Anthozoa; Actiniaria; Edwardsiidae.
AGUAAUGAUUAAGAGGGACAGUUGGGGGCAUUCGUAUUUCGUUGUCAGAGGUGAAAUUCUUGGAUUUACGAAAGACGAACUACUGCGAAAGCAUUUGCCAAGAAUGUUUUCACU